UGGGGAAUAUUGGACAAUGGGCGGAAGCCUGAUCCAGCAACGCCGCGUGAGGGAUGACGGCCUUCGGGUUGUAAACCUCUUUCAGUACCGACGAAGCGAAAGUGACGGUAGGUACAGAAGAAGGACCGGCCAACUACGUGCCAGCAGCCGCGGUAAUACGUAGGGUCCGAGCGUUGUCCGGAAUUAUUGGGCGUAAAGGGCUCGUAGGCGGUUUGUCGCGUCGGGAGUGAAAACAGCGGGCUUAACUCGUUGCUUGCUUUCGAUACGGGCAGACUAGAGGUAUGCAGGGGAGAAUGGAAUUCCUGGUGUAGCGGUGAAAUGCGCAGAUAUCAGGAGGAACACCGGUGGCGAAGGCGGUUCUCUGGGCAUUACCUGACGCUGAGGAGCGAAAGUGUGGGGAGCGAACAGGAUUAGAUACCCUGGUAGUCCACACCGUAAAACGUUGGGGCGCUAGGUGUGGGGUCCUUUCCACGGAUUCCGUGCCGUAGCUAACGCAUUU
RNAcentral lists this ribosomal RNA (499 nucleotides) under uncultured bacterium. Its description in RNAcentral is "partial 16S ribosomal RNA". It matches the Rfam family "Bacterial small subunit ribosomal RNA", at positions 355 to 862 of the family's 1533-position model. The record is from RNAcentral.